UACGUAGGUGGCGAGCGUUGUCCGGAAUUACUGGGCGUAAAGCGCGCGUAGGCGGUCUGCCAAGUCUGUGGUGAAAUCGCUCGGCUCAACUGGGCGGGGUCCGUGGAAACUGGUCAACUGGAGGACGGUAGAGGCAAGUGGAAUUUCCGGUGUAGUGGUGAAAUGCGUAGAGAUCGGGAGGAACACCAGUGGCGAAGGCGGCUUGCUGGGCCGGAACUGACGCUGAGGCGCGAAAGCCAGGGGAGCAAACGGG
RNAcentral lists this ribosomal RNA (253 nucleotides) under uncultured bacterium. Its description in RNAcentral is "partial 16S ribosomal RNA". It matches the Rfam family "Bacterial small subunit ribosomal RNA", at positions 524 to 776 of the family's 1533-position model. The record is from RNAcentral.